AAGGAUAUGUUUCGUGGGGUGUUUUGGGAAGAUGUCUUCGCUUUUGUUGGAUGUACCGCAAAGGGUGUGACAUCAUGGUUUUCCGAGGAAAUAGUCCAUGGCAACGAAAGAUUGGAUCAUAGUUGAGAAUAUGGAAUAUGUCAUUAUCGGACCAUGAAAGUAGGCUUUGCAGUUCCUUAAACUAAGUGUCUUAGUAUAAGUGAUAUUUAGAAUGCGUUUAACGUGAUUGUCAUGGCGCCCAACAACAAGUUGCAGCUACAGAGAAAAUAUCUGAAACGAAUCGAAAAGCCAUUCAAACCAUUCGAAACACCCUCAGUUCCCAAGGGGACUCCCCGAACAGGGUGUGUAACAGCUUCGAACGCCGGGACCAUGUUACGAUAUUCGGAGAAUUCCUUCGGUUGUUCGGUUCGGGCGUGUGGCGCCCCGCGAUCGAAGCAUCCCUGCUGCUCGUCAGCGCAAGCGCAACGACGAGCCCAGAAGAUGCGCAAAGAUUUAUCGCUGAUUGAUCAGCGACGGUCCGGCACAGAACCAACCCGGGAGGAAUUUCGACAACACCGGAUCGCGUAGAGUCAUCCUCUGGCAUCGAACAACACACCGCCAAGGAUAUAUACGAACGCGGCCCCGACGAGGGCUGGGUGAUGAAGUGUUGAAGCGAUGACUGGCGUAGCAGAACAAGAUCUUCCGAGCCGAGGAGCAGGCCAUGGCCGACAUCGAGCGAGAUGACAUCCGAACCGAGAUGCGGCCAGGAAAGCUGGCAGUUUUUGACUCGUCAUGGCGCUUUUCCAUAGUGUUCCUGUGCUGGAGGUCGCCGGCCGGUCGCCGGCCCAAUCCAAAAACAAUCCACCACAAUCGUCCCUCAGUGUGGUCAUGGUGGCAACACCAAAGGCUGGGAGCGCCCGAAAUAAGAUGACAACUCCCUGCUGGGCGAAAUCUCCGCUUUGGAAAGGGUUUUUCGCAGUCUUUAAUGAACUACCCCGUGCUCGUGCUGUGGCAGUGGAUUAGUUUGCUCACUUUUUGUGUGACGAUUCUCGGCCGCAGCGUUUUGUGCUGGCUUCUACGCUUGCCGCAUCCGUCGGGGACGACGGGGGCGACGACGGUUGGACUCAAUUUUUGGCAAUUAUUACGAUUUCCGGUAGAAGAUUAGAUUAGAUGCAAAACAUGCGAGGCUAAAAUGGGCUUCCACCCAGCGACCAGACAACUCAGUCGCAGCAGCCACUCUUGUCUCCCAGACCCGUCCCGUGUCGGGAAAUGCAUUAUGGCGGUGUUUUCUUUUCCUUCUCCGGGCGACCAGACGCGACGCGGCACCAGAAAAAGGGCAGUUUUGGGAUAGUCUCUGUCUGGGAGGAUAAAUAAAUUGUUGUCAACGAUCGUCUGGAGCGGAAAUGGGCAUUCUCGGGGUUGAUAAAGGUGGCCCGAUUACCGGAUGAUCGUUUGUAAUUGUAAAGUGUUUGUUGUUUUGAUAGAAAAGUGUUGUUAUCGGCGGUGGAAG
Anopheles merus is the source of this 1489-nucleotide long non-coding RNA. RefSeq lists it as uncharacterized. Lineage: Eukaryota; Metazoa; Arthropoda; Insecta; Diptera; Culicidae. The record is from RefSeq and is a predicted model, not a curated record. The transcript has 3 exons.